RNAcentral lists this ribosomal RNA (292 nucleotides) under uncultured bacterium. Its description in RNAcentral is "partial 16S ribosomal RNA". It matches the Rfam family "Bacterial small subunit ribosomal RNA", at positions 505 to 796 of the family's 1533-position model. The record is from RNAcentral.
GUGCCAGCAGCCGCGGUAAUACGAAGGGGGCUAGCGUUGUUCGGAAUUACUGGGCGUAAAGGGCGCGUAGGCGGUUUGACCAGUCAGGUGUGAAAUUCCCGGGCUUAACCUGGGGGCUGCACUUGAUACUGUCAGGCUUGAAUUCGGGAGAGGAUAGUGGAAUUCCCAGUGUAGAGGUGAAAUUCGUAGAUAUUGGGAAGAACACCAGUGGCGAAGGCGACUAUCUGGACCGACAUUGACGCUGAGGCGCGAAAGCGUGGGGAGCAAACAGGAUUAGAUACCCUGGUAGUCC